UACAGAGGGUGCGAGCGUUGUUCGGAAUUAUUGGGCGUAAAGGGCGCGUAGGCGGUGCGGUAAGUCACCUGUGAAAUCUCCUGGCUCAACUGGGAGCUUGCAGGCGAAACUGCCGUGCUGGAGUGUGGGAGAGGUGCGUGGAAUUCCCGGUGUAGCGGUGAAAUGCGCAGAUAUCAGGAGGAACACCGGUGGCGAAGGCGGGUCUCUGGGCCGUAACUGACGCUGAGGAGCGAAAGCGUGGGGAGCGAACAGG
RNAcentral lists this ribosomal RNA (253 nucleotides) under uncultured bacterium. RNAcentral's name for it is "partial 16S ribosomal RNA". It matches the Rfam family "Bacterial small subunit ribosomal RNA", at positions 524 to 776 of the family's 1533-position model. The record is from RNAcentral.